GAGUUUGAUCCUGGCUCAGAACGAACGCUGGCGGCGUGCUUAACACAUGCAAGUCGAACGCGAAAGGUUUCUUCGGAGACCGAGUAGAGUGGCGCACGGGUGAGUAACGCGUAAGUAAUCUACCCUGGUAUCCGGAAUAACCCACCGAAAGGUGUGCUAAUACCGGAUACGCUGAUGUAUCAGGAAAGAUGGCCUCUUCUUGAAAGCUAUCGUACCAGGAGGAGCUUGCGUACCAUUAGCUAGUUGGUAGGGUAAUGGCCUACCAAGGCGACGAUGGUUAGCGGGUCUGAGAGGAUGAUCCGCCACACUGGAACUGGAACACGGACCAGACUCCUACGGGAGGCAGCAGUGAGGAAUAUUGCGCAAUGGGGGAAACCCUGACGCAGCGACGCCGCGUGGAUGAUGAAGGCCUUCGGGUCGUAAAAUCCUGUCAGAUGGGAAGAAGUGUUAUAUGUUUAACAGACAUGUAAUUUGACGGUACCAUCAAAGGAAGCACCGGCUAACUCCGUGCCAGCAGCCGCGGUAAUACGGAGGGUGCAAGCGUUGUUCGGAAUUACUGGGCGUAAAGCGCGCGUAGGCGGCGUGUUAAGUCAGAUGUGAAAGUCCACGGCUCAACCGUGGAAGUGCAUUUGAAACUGGCAUGCUUGAGUACUGGAGGGGGUAGUGGAAUUCCCGGUGUAGAGGUGAAAUUCGUAGAUAUCGGGAGGAAUACCGGUGGCGAAGGCGACUACCUGGCCAGAUACUGACGCUGAGGUGCGAAAGCGUGGGGAGCAAACAGGAUUAGAUACCCUGGUAGUCCACGCCGUANACGAUGUGAACU
RNAcentral lists this ribosomal RNA (820 nucleotides) under bacterium enrichment culture clone HY338. RNAcentral describes it as "bacterial SSU rRNA". It matches the Rfam family "Bacterial small subunit ribosomal RNA", at positions 9 to 817 of the family's 1533-position model. The record is from RNAcentral.